AAACACAGCCUGGGCGCUGGCGGAAAAGUGCGAGGGCAGCGGGCCCUGGGUCCCACGCGGCGUCGGGGAGCUGAGCCGCGCGCACUCCCAACCAGGGCGCACGCCUUGCGGGGGCAGAACCCGCAGAAAGGGACCCCCCACCCACGCGAAGGACGGGCAGGGCGGGGAGGAAAAAUUAUUAAUAACGGGGAGAGGAGGGGUGGAUUUGAAAGACCUGGAAGUGGAAUGUUCAGACUGUAGUCACAGUAAGGGCCAAGGCCCUGAGGUGGGCACACGGCGAAGGCGCUGGAGGCAGAGCCAGGAAGCAGCCGUGGCCGGGGCAGGGUGAAGAAGAGGGGGAUGAUGGCAGGGAAGGCAGAGAGCUAGACCACGCCCAGAGGGGAGGGGGUGAGAUUUUUUUCUAAGAGCAUUAGGGAGCAAUGGGAGGGUGUGGAGCCGCGAGGAGAGGAUGGGAUCUACGUCACGAUUUUAAGAAGCUCCAUGGGAGGCCGCACGUGGUGGCAGCGUGUGCCUGUAGCCCCAGCACUUCGGAGGCCGAGACAGGAUGAUGGCUUGAACCCAGCAGGUGAAGGCUGCAGUUAGCUGUGAUCGUGCCACUGCACUUCAGCCUGGACGACAGACCAAGACUCUUACUAAAAACUAAAAAAACCGGCCGGGCGCGGUGGCUCAUGCCUGUAAUCCCAGCACUUUGGGAGGCUGAGGCGGGCGAAUCACCUCAGGUCAGGAGUUCGAGACCAGCCUAAACAACAUGGUGAAACCCCCUCUCUACUCAAAACACAAAAAUUAGCUGGGUGUAGUGGCGGGCGUCUGUAAUCCCAGCUACUCAGGAGGCUGAGGCAGGAGAAUCGCUUGAACCCGGGAGGCGAAGGUUGCAGUGAGCCAAGAUUGCGCUCCAGCCUGGGCAUAGAGUGAGACUCCGUCUCAAAAUAACAACAACAAAAACUAAAAAAACCUAAGAAGCUCCGUUGCCAGUGAGAUCAAGGUGGCACAGAGGGGGCGGGGAGGUUGCCCCGGGGAAGGGGCCCAGGGCAGGUCCUCGGCUGGGUCUCUGCUUCUUGGGGUGGACAGUGGUGAGUCACCCACCAUGGAUGUCCCCUAAAUACGGGUCAGGGGCUGUGCCUGGAGGAGCCCUAAGGAGAAUCUUCUUUUAGGGCAGGGAGGUUGCCAGGAGAAGGGGCCGACUGUACCCUCACCCUGGAUCCACCCUGCACAGUCCCACCCAUAAGCCUUUGCGCUAGCGGUUCCUGCCGCCUGGAACGCUUUUUCUCUGGCUUCUGGCCUGGCCUACUGAGGCUCCUCCUUUGGCCAAGGGUUCCUCCUUGGUCCUCCUGGGGGAGGAGGCCAACUCCUCCUCUUCCUCUUCCUCUCCCUCCUCCUCUUCCUCCUCCUCCUCCAAGCCUUCCCUGGGCACUGCCCCCGCAAGACUGUUUCCGCACAGUCCCUAGUUGGACUUGGCAGUAUUCGGAUGAAAUAACGCAUCCCGUCCUCAGUUGGCCGCCUCCGCCUUCCUCUGGGUCCUGUCUCCUUGAGGACACAGCAGUGGGGGGGCCCACGAGUACUCCCCAUUCCUGCAGAGGAGGCCGGGUUGGGUUUUCCUGCUGGUGGUUUUUCUUCUCCAUAGGUGGCGGAAACGGCCUCCCUCCCUCCUCCUCAUUAAAGUGGGGGGCCCUGGGAGGGGCCAGGACUGGGGCUGGCGCCCCCUGCAACCCCUCCCCAGCCGUGCGUGCGUGGGAGGCGGCCACAGCUGGGAGCCGGGUCUGCGCUAGGAGACCGUUUCCUCUCAGAAGCUGUAAUUAUGGGGCUGCGAGGGACUCCGGGUGACAGAAGGGAUACAGGAGGGCCUGGCCAAGAAGCCUCUGCCAAACCUGCAACUCACACCCCCACGUCCGUCCUCCACAAAGCUUAACCAAAGCCGGUACACUUCUGUGCUUCUAGCACCUUGUGUGGCUUUCACCGGCCACACAUCGAAGCCCCACCCCUCUGCCCUGCACUUGAACUCCAGAGUCAUACUAACCCUUGGGAACUGGCUUCCAUCCUCUGGUAAUGUCCUCCUUCCAGACCAAAGAAGGUGGCAGCAUCUCUAGUUUUUCUUUUUAGAUAUGGGUGUCUCACUCUGUCACCCAGGCUGGAGUGCAGCGGCACAAUCAUAGCUCACUGCAGCCUCAACCUCCGGGUUUAAGUGAUCCUCCCACCUCAGCUUCCCAAGUAGCUGGGACCAAAUGCAUGCACUAACAAGCCCAGCCAUCAUUUCUUCUCCCCAUGUUACAGAUGGGGAAACUGAGGCUCGUAAAGGAACCAAGGACGUCAUGUGAGCGACCCAGAGGCAAUACCCCACCCAUCAGAGUGCUUCCAGUACCCUGUCUGGUCUGGGAGACUCGAGGUGUCUCUUAGAAAUCCCAGGUCUAGGAGGAGG
RNAcentral lists this long non-coding RNA (2413 nucleotides) under Homo sapiens (human). RNAcentral's name for it is "HSALNT0256792". The record is from RNAcentral. Lineage: Eukaryota; Metazoa; Chordata; Mammalia; Primates; Hominidae.